This 1327-nucleotide ribosomal RNA is filed under the name metagenome. RNAcentral's name for it is "bacterial SSU rRNA". It matches the Rfam family "Bacterial small subunit ribosomal RNA", at positions 189 to 1498 of the family's 1533-position model. The record is from RNAcentral.
CGCGAGUGCGGAAGAAAGAUGCAAUUGUAUCGUCUGGAGAUGAGCCUGCGGUCCAUUAGCUAGUUGGUAGGGUAAAGGCCUACCAAGGCGACGAUGGAUAGCCGGCCUGAGAGGGUGAUCGGCCACACUGGGACUGAGACGCGGCCCAGACUCCUACGGGAGGCAGCAGCUAAGAAUCUUCCGCAAUGGGCGCAAGCCUGACGGAGCGACGCCGCGUGAACGAAGAAGGCCGAAAGGUUGUAAAGUUCUUUUCUCAGGGAAGAAUAAAGCGAAGAGUGGAAAGCUUUGCAGAUGACAUUAACUGAGGAAUAAGCCCCGGCCAAUUACGUGCCAGCAGCCGCGGUAAUACGUAUGGGCGAGCGUUGUUCGGAAUUAUUGGGCGUAAAGGGCGUGUAGGCGGUUUCAUAAGCCUGGUGUGAAAGACCACAGCUCAACUGUGGAAAUGCGCUGGGAACUGUGAGACUUGAGUUCAGGAGGGGAAGCUGGAAUUCCUGGUGUAGGGGUGAAAUCUGUAGAUAUCAGGAAGAACACCGAUGGCGAAGGCAAGCUUCUGGCCAUGGACUGACGCUGAGGCGCGAAAGCGUGGGGAGCGAACAGGAUUAGAUACCCUGGUAGUCCACGCUGUAAACGAUGUGCACUGGGUGUAGGGGGCGUUGAGCUCUCUGUGCCGUAGCUAACGCGUUAAGUGCACCGCCUGGGGAGUAUGCUCGCAAGGGUGAAACUCAAAGGAAUUGACGGGGGCCCGCACAAGCGGUGGAGCAUGUGGUUUAAUUCGAUACUCGAGGAACCUUACCAGGGCUUGACAUGCACCUGAAGGCUUAAGAGAUUAAGUUGACCUUUAGGGGACGGGUGCACAGGUGCUGCAUGGCUGUCGUCAGCUCGUGUCGUGAGAUGUUGGGUUAAGUCCCGCAACGAGCGCAACCCUUACUGUCUGUUGCCAACAGGUCUUCGGAUGCUGGGGACUCAGGCAGAACUGCCGGUGACAAACCGGAGGAAGGUGGGGAUGACGUCAAGUCAUCAUGGCCCUUAUGUCCUGGGCUACACACGUGCUACAAUGGCCGGUACAAAGCGUUGCGAGACGGUGACGUCCUUAGCAAAUCGCAAAAAGCCGGUCUCAGUUCGGAUUGGAGUCUGAAACUCGACUCCAUGAAGUUGGAAUCGCUAGUAAUCGCGCAUCAGAAUGGCGCGGUGAAUAUGUUCCCGGGCCUUGUACACACCGCCCGUCACACCACCCGAGUUGGGGGUACCCGAAGUCGCUAGUCUAACUAGUAAUAGAGGACGGUGCCGAAGGUAUGCCUAGUAAGGGGGGUGAAGUCGUAACAAGGUA